UUAUUUGCUGGGGCUUGCUUUAGGAGCUUUCUUUUUAUUGUCUCUUGGUCGUCCAUAGAACAAACACUGACCGCAGCAGCCACAGCCAAACUCUUUGUUAAAUUGAUCGCCACUCCAUGUCAAACCGGUGGUGUUUCGGUUCGUUGAGCGCCGGAUCGGUGCCAACUACAUCUCCUCUGCGCGUUGAUCAGGGCGGUUUUUCUCGCCGCCAUCCAACGAGGGAGCCUUCGGUUGCAGUCGCUGCUUCUUUUUUUCGCUCAACUUCCGCCGCUGGUGGAGUUACUAGCGGCGUUGUCCUGGACGGUUGCGUUGGCAGUCUUGAUAGCUUGAGUCUGUCGGAGUUUUCGCUUUUCCAGUUCUUUUUUUUUAGGCUCCUGGCAGCUGGAUCGUUUCGUUGUUGACGGCUAUGCCGUGGUUUGUGGUUUUAUUGGUAACUGGUUCAUUGGUUGUGUUUUUUUUUUCUCGAGAGAGAGAGGUGAGAAUUGCUAGGGGAGAUGGGCUGCGGUGGUGGUCCGUGGGUUUCAGUGCGUUAAGUGUGGGAUCGGUGCCAACUCCAUCUCCUCUGCGUGUUUAUGAGGGCAGUUUUUCUCGGCGCCAUCCAACGAGGGAUCCAGUCUUUUAGCCUUCCGUUGCUUUCCCUUUUGUUUUCGCGCGACUUUCGCCGUUGGUGGAGUUACUAGCGGCGUGGACCUGGAAGGUUGCGUUGGCUUCUGUGAUCGUUUGAGUCUGUCGGAGUUGUCCCAUUUCGUGUUCUUUUUUUUCCCGAUCCUGGCAGCUGGAUCGUUUCGUCGUUAACGGCUAUGCCGUGGUUUGGUGGUUAUGUUGGUAACUGGUUCAAUGGCUAUGUUGGUGUUGGGCGUGCCAUGGCGGAAUAGCGCUGGGCAGUUGGGUUUUUUUUUUUAGGGGGAGAUGAGAAUUGCAAGGGGAGAUGGGUUGCGGUGGCGGUCCGUGGGUUCUGGCUUUGUUGAGUACAGAGGCAUUAAUCUUCUAUUACAAAGAAAAAAAAUAGCAACCGCGACCUGGAGGAAGGGAGAGACGGAAGGAGAUUAAAAUUAUCGACCUUGACUGACUAUGGAAAGGAGCAGGACAUGGGAAUCGAAGCAUUGGAAGCCAUGCUUAUGGAUGAUGAGUUUAGAGGUUAGGGUGGCUGGCUGUUCUAUCAUCAUGGUGCCGUGUGUUUUUCUCUUCCCCGGAGUUUGGUCAUGUUCUUAUGGUAUGCUCCUUUAGCUGUGCUGUUUUGGAUUCUUAGCUCGAUCAGUUUUAUUUCCAGAGGGAAAAGGAGGUGAACAGGGAGCUGUGAGUGCUAUCAAGAUCUAUAUAUGGUUUGCUGUGUGUGGAGUGAUCAGAGUGAAUUUUGGGCUUUUGAGUGAGAAUUCUAUGUUUUUUUUUUGUUGUUGAAUUUAGGAUUUUCAAGAGCCAAGAGUUUACUUGACUGAUAUCGCAUACUUGCUGAUUAUGGCAUGGACUAUUCUGGACAGAAAUAGCAGACCAUGCCUUCAGGCAAUUCUGAGGUUUUUUUUUUUCCAACAGAAAAGAUAGCAAACAAGAUCCGUGGCUGCUGUUGCACCGGGGCAUCCGUUCCUUUUCUUUCUGAGAUUCAUGUUGACAGAUUGUACAAUCAAACACUAAAUGCUUUAUUCAGUAUCUCACAGCCAAGAUUAAAUUCUGCUUUGUGUCCGGUCCAUUGAUCUGUCCACUGUGUUCAUCCCUUUAUUUUUGUUUUUUGUUUUCUUUGCCUUGUAUUGACAUUGAAACCAUUGCUCACAUCCUAUCUUUCUUCUUUCCUUUUUUUUCUUGGAUAAGGUUCACAGAUACAUGAGGUGAUUAUGGUGCCGUGGUGAUCACAUAGUUGGCUUGCUCGAGAUCAACAGCAGAAUUACCGUUCUGUUGGUUUUAAAUGAAUACUUUGGUUUAUGUUUUCUGUUUUUAACCAAUCCAUUUGCCACUUUGAUUUCCACAAUACCAUGGUGGGUUACAAAACUAUCAACGAAUAACAUUACCUACCUUUUGCAGGGAAACUGAAGCUGCUGGAGGACUGCACUGCCACUCCAGGUCGAGGUUGUGGAUGCAGCCGUGGUCUUCAACAACUUUUUGACAGCUACUGUUAUGGAGAUGGAUCAAACCACUUAAUUUUUGUGACAAGGAUCAAGGAGGUUUACUUUGGAUCCAGGCAACCUUUUGGUUUUUCUGUGUAGGAGACAUGUAAUUGCUUUAAAGGAUCUGAAGCAGCUCAUAAAACUGAUUUGUUGUAUCGCUUUUUGAUUUUAAUGCGAAGAGCUGUAUUUGGUAGUUUAA
This is a long non-coding RNA of Populus nigra (black poplar), 2295 nucleotides long. RefSeq lists it as uncharacterized. NCBI's taxonomy places the organism in Eukaryota, Viridiplantae, Streptophyta, Magnoliopsida, Malpighiales, Salicaceae. The transcript is spliced from 4 exons. The record is from RefSeq and is a predicted model, not a curated record.